RNAcentral lists this ribosomal RNA (402 nucleotides) under uncultured bacterium. RNAcentral describes it as "bacterial SSU rRNA". It matches the Rfam family "Bacterial small subunit ribosomal RNA", at positions 127 to 518 of the family's 1533-position model. The record is from RNAcentral.
UGCCCCCCGGCCCGGGAUAGCCCAGGGAAACCUGGAUUAAUACCGGAUGAGACGGGACCUGCGAUGGCGGGAUCCGGGAAAGGCGCUACGGCGCCGCCGGGGGAUGAGUCUGCGUCCCAUUAGCUAGACGCGGGGUAACGGCCCACCGUGGCGACGAUGGGUAGCCGGCCUGAGAGGGUGACGGCCACAUUGGAACUGAGACACGGUCCAGACUCCUACGGGAGGCAGCAGCUAAGAAUCUUCCGCAAUGGGCGAAAGCCUGACGGAGCCGACGCCGCGUGAACGAAGAAGGCCGUGAGGUUGUAAAGUUCUUUCGGGAGGGGGAACAACCGUGGCAGGGAAUGGCCGCGGGAUGACGUGAAUCCCGGAAUAAGCCCCGGCUAACUACGUGCCAGCCGCCGC